GACCCAGGGAGCGCUCAGUUCCUUUCUGCUGGAACCCCACUUCUGACUUUAGAGGCAUCUCCCUAGAUCGGCUCUACCAAGACUAAGGGGAAGGAGGUGAGACCGGAAAGUCCUCAGACCCAGUGACCCACACUACUCUUCAGUAUUUCUCCCCAUCAAAAGGAGUUGCUGACCUACUUAACGGUAUCCCGUCUUACAAGAUCCUUAUGGUGAUAAAAUCACUUACUGUGCGCCUCUGUGUUGAGCACAUUCUCCAAAGCGUCUCUUGUACUUUUCACAAGUGAUCCUGGAGAUAAAUGUAGACACCCUCUGUUACAUGUCAAUACAGCGAGGCAACAGAAAAGUUAAAUAAUUGAGGUCACAGCUAGGUUGAGGCAAAGUCCGGGUUCCACUCAGACCUGCCUGGACCCACAGCCUGCAUGAUAGCGCCCUAAGGGCAUGAAGCUGUGAUUCACCGGAAGAAGCUAACAGUCUUUAUUUGUAGGUGGCAGGAUAGCUUGUCAGUGGGGAAAAGUUGAGAGGAGGAAGAAGAUAUGAACAGCAGGCAUUCUAUCCUUUAAUGGUGUACCCAGACGGUUCCAGGAUGGAACAAAGAGGGGAAACUCACCCAUCUGGAGCACACACGCCAAGCAGGCCAGGAGUUGGAAGGACCCCGCCAUGCUCUGAUGCCUGCAGACCCAGCAGCCCUCUCCCCAGCCAGCUUCUCUAGGUUACUGGAUUAGGAUCUGUGAUGCGUGCUUCUUGAAGAUUCAGGAGAUAAAGAGUUAUCAGGAAGGAAUCAAGUUUAUUCUGACCCUGAAGAGACAGAAGGUCCUAACCCAUGCUUACAGCUCUAUCUUGGGUAGCUUGGAGGUACACGGGACUUCCCUAGGAAGGAAGAAGAAUUCUACAGCAGAGUGAGCAGACCUUGGUCACCCAGCGUGUGUCUUGACCUUGGUCACCCAGUGUGUGUCUUCUUUGUUUUUCUUUGAAGCACUUCCAUGGCCUGCACCCCAUUGUUGGUUGUUCCUCUAGAUAUUUUUCUUAUACUUGCUUUUUGACAUGAUGCAGCAUUUAUUGGUGAGCAUGAUGAAAGACAAGGCUUACAACCUGUCCAGGGGAUCACAACUGGAGACUUACCGGACCCCAAAGCCACCGGAGGUCAGUACUUUGCAAUGUGAUCAACUUUCAAGACACCGGACAGAGGAAGGUGUGCUUGGUGCUCAUGAAGGUCAGAAGAGGGCAUCGGAUCCCCUGGAACAAAAGUUACAGAGACUUGGGAACUUCCCUGUGAAUGCUGGGCAUUGAAUCUGGGUUCUUUGCAAAAGAAGCAUGUGCUCUUAAACACUGAGUCAUAACUUCAGUAUGUAAGUGUAGUUCUCACCCUUCAUCAAAAAAACUUCUCUUCACAACAGAUGGAUCCACAACUGGCAAAAAAUGUCGAGAAAAGGGCGUCAUAACCUCGGUCUCUGGAGUGGAACAGUCGAGGCGUCAAGUACAGUUUCUUGUAUUUCUGUGAUCUUGAACACCUUUGAUGGUGUCAUUCAUUUGAGGACUGGGGAGACCAGAGUUUCAGAGGAGAACCCACCCACAUAGCACUGUGCACAACUAUACUUCCACUGCACUCCGGAGCCCAGAGGUCUCAGGGAAGCGCAGACUUGCCUAGGUCCGACAAAUACAAUAUCCUGCUGAAGAAUGACUUCUUAGACUUACUGAGUUCUCUGAGAUUUUUGGCUUGUGGAAUAUCGCUGUAUCCCUCUAAGAUUCUGAUGGAGAACUCCAGCACCAUGGCUGUGUGUGUACAGCAUGCUCUCUGCCGUGAUGAGAGUGGACUAAACCUCUGACACUAGGUUGGAGGUAAAUCCCUAUUGCUGAAGACACCUUGUACUUCAGAUGUAGAUCCCAGCAGAUCCCAGCAGAUCCCAGCUGGAUAUCAAAGCUUCCUCCAUGACAACCAUUUCAUAGAUCCAGACGAUGCCAUGCCAGCCUCCAGGAGAGGGAGACAACAAAUGGUUUUACCCAGCUGCGCGACUCCUGUGAACCACCACAUCAACGAGCACGGCCGAGUGAUGUCAUGGAUCUAAGAGCAGAACCUACUACCACUACCACGUUACGAAAGCAGCCUGAUUCCUAACUGCAUUCCAAAUAUUCAUCUCUGUACCCACAGGUGGAGCAAACUGUUACCGACAGGCCAUCAGGAGGAGGGGGUCUGUGAAGGAGAAAGAUCCCUUUGUUGGGCUGGCCCAUCCUGCGCCCUGCACUUACUGCUCCAAGAUGCAUUUGGCCUUUGGGACACUGACUCAACACCCAGAACCAUUUGGCUACUGUUAGACAGUAACCAAAUCAAUCGAUCAACCAGCCAAUCACCUAUCAAUCACGUGAGCUGUCUUGCAGCGUACGGCAGAAAUGAUGAGCGAGAUCUCUGGUCCUCAUUCCCUAAACUAAAGACUGUCUUAUUUUGAUCAGCAUGUUGUCCCCUGCACUGUUCCUUAAAUGGGUCAAUGAAUCCUUGCAUGUCCUAGCGUCUGUCUCAGGCUAAUGAGGGCUCGUCUUCAGAAACAGCUCAGCUUUCAGACCCCAGUGCUUCCUUUACUUCACUGUACAGAGAAAUCUCAAAUGCGAUUUUACAUGCCCUCAGAGCACUGGGAACCCGUCUCUCUUGGCAGGGUUCGAGGGUCCUACUCUGAGAAGAAGGAUGCUCAUGGCUGAGGAGGGAAGACGUCUCUUUGUUUCUGUCAAUUCUAGUCAUCUUCAAGAUCUAACUCAUCCAUUCAGCAUGUAUCCCUUGGUCCUCUGCUCAGCACAAGCUGCAUGCUAGCCUGCUCUCUCGAGUGCUGUCUAUCUAUUUCCUCUGUGCGCACCAGGAACUAUUGUCUCUUGUUCCCUUCAAAGGCCCAGCACUCUUCUAAGGCAUGCUUCUGGCACUUGCAGGCUUUGUACUGUUAUAUGCUUUGGAAGAACAUUUAGAGGUCCAAGUUGCUCUCUUCUCCACAGUGAGAGUUAGAUUAAUACAUGGCAGACUGCUCACCCAUUAAUACAUACAGUGCAGGACUGGGGCUGGCUUAUACCAGAGAAGCAUCUACCUACUGCACGUUGGUGUGGAGGCAAUCCCCCGAAUGCAUUAGAAAAAGGCUCUUAAGCCUCAGCAAGAGCCUGGAUUUCACGGACAAUGCCCCUGUCAGUGUGCGGUCAUGGGUGAGUUCUACCAUAGUAACCCAACCAUUGACAAGUACUACAAAAUGGGUUUACAGCUUGUUAGCUAACACAGCAAACAAGGCUAGUGCUUGGCUGCAUGGCUCCUGAUCUGCAGGUAAGGAAGGCAGCCCUGUUAGAUGCCAUCCCAGGCUCCCAACUCCUCCUCCUGAUAGGUACAUACGGCAUGAAGAAAAGAGAAGUUCUGUAAUCGGUGUCUGCUAUUUAUGUACCUUGGCAGACACGCUUGGACUUUUGUUUGGCGGUGACAGGGCAACAUGGGCAAGCUGAAACUUGCUGGGGCAUUUUACACAAAAGGCUUGCUUUGCAAGAGGGGCUGGAGGUCUGUCCCAAGAGUUCAUGUGUGGCUAUUAAACUGUCUGGUGCGACACAGUGAGGACAGACUCAAUACCCUCCAACUGUCAGCCUCAGAAGGACCUGCUAAAGCUCUGUGGGAGUGAACUCUACAUCUAUGGACGUCAAGGUUGACAUUCCCGUUGCACCAUCAACUUGACUUUUAGAAAUAUGUUACAGAAACAUUAGUAUGGGGUACAUUUGGCAAGUUAUCCCAAAUGCAUUCAGUGGAGCAGUGUCUUUAAUGGCUCCAAACCAGAAGCCAUAUAACUACCUCUCAGCAUAACAGGCUUGCCGAUUGAAAGGAUCCGUAUUAUCUCAAGCAGCAGAGGCUGCACAUCCUGAGAGGUGGAGCCAUGGUCUUCUGAGAAAGGCCCUGGCUUCUAAUCCCCAUUGAGAGUUGUCACUCAGACAGCUCGGAUCCAUGGAAAACAAGCUCUUGGGGCAAGGAAAGGGGACACCCAAGGAAAGCGAGUGCCAGGAAAGACAGAUACAAAUGGAGCAAGCACUGCAGAUGAACCUUAAUCAAAGCCCUAAACCGAACCACAACGGGUGACGGGAUUGAGCGUAAUGAAGAGAGCCAAAAAGCGGAAGCUCCUGUGAAGGGACGAGGAGAAACCACUAAGAAAAACGUCUACAGUGGUGGGAAAGCUCACACGGGAACUAACCUACAAGGAGAGGAAUAUUUGCAGAGGAUCGUUAAAAGAUUAAAAGUGGACAAAAAUCCCAGAAUUAAAGGAAGACGGGGGACAGCACACUGAAGAGAUUCAAAAGGGAAUCCUCAUAGCUAGUCAGGCAACAGAAAACCAACUCAGAUGCAAAGACACAAUUCUAAAUGUCCAGAGAGGAAAAAUAAAACGACCUUUUCAUAGGAA
Molecule: long non-coding RNA, 4400 nt
Organism: Mastomys coucha (southern multimammate mouse)
Lineage: Eukaryota; Metazoa; Chordata; Mammalia; Rodentia; Muridae
Exons: 14
Source: RefSeq, a predicted model, not a curated record